This 25-nucleotide non-coding RNA is filed under the name Mus musculus (house mouse). Lineage: Eukaryota; Metazoa; Chordata; Mammalia; Rodentia; Muridae. The record is from RNAcentral.
UCUUGAACAAGGAUAGCAUGCAGAA